Molecule: long non-coding RNA, 1048 nt
Organism: Myotis davidii
Lineage: Eukaryota; Metazoa; Chordata; Mammalia; Chiroptera; Vespertilionidae
Exons: 3
Source: RefSeq, a predicted model, not a curated record
AUUAACAGUUACAGGGGCAGGUCCACAGCCUCUUACACGGACUGUCCCACCUGAAACUGUAGCUAAAAACCAUGGAGGCUGAGCCUCGUUCACGCUCAGGCGGAGGACGCAGCCCCUGAGAUGAGCACACGCCUGAGGCGCCGGAGUCCGGGCGCGGGGACAUCCUUCCUGUGGCCGGACUGACGGACACGACCCACCGGAGGGGGCUUUCACUUUUCAUCUCUUAGCAAAGGCCAACCUGGAUUUUCACUUUGGCCCUGAAAUGUGCUUCGUUUUCUAUGAAGUCAGAGGCGGACUACGAUGGCCUCCCACACCUCCCCCUUUUGAGGCUUAUGAUCUCUUUUCUUCUUAUAUAAACUGGGACCAGUAUGUAUUUUCUGUCAUUCAUCUGAUAACACCCAUUUUGCACCUUCCCUGUCUUCUCUAAGUAUGGGUUCCUGCCCAGAGUUGCAGCUCUGGAUCUGGGAAGAAUCCUUGAGUGCAGUACCCCAGCCCCACCCCAACAAUUACUGAUCAACUCUGGGCAACUUCCAUGGCAUAUCGCCACCUUGCCACAAAAGGGAUAAAAAGAAGAGUGACCUUUAGCCCUGGUGCCCUGGACAGUGAAAAUAGUGGAAAACAGAAGCUCAGGUCACAUUCAAAUAAAAAUGCAAGGCUGACUCGGAUUAAGUGAGCAAUCUAUAAAUGUUAUCAAAAUGUGAAAAAAGGGAGCUCUUUAUUGAAGGUAAAGAGACAGGCUGAACGUAAGAUGGUGACAUGCCCUGGCCCUGUGCUACCCCUGGAUUGUUCCUUCUGUAACCCCUGAGGGUGGCGGUUGGGUCAGCAGGAUGGCCUGCUCCUAGGGUCUGAGAGGCCCCUCAGAGAAGGUGAUGUUUGAAUUUGGACUCCAGUUCACAUCUGAGAUCGGGCAUCUCAGGCCAGGCAAUAGCAUUAGGACUCGAUUACAACAGUUCAGGCCUGAGGCAAUGAAACUUGGAAUUGGCAUUGAGAAUGGAAAAACGGUCAAGUGCGAGAGACAUUGAGGAGAAACUGGUUUUCAGAUUUCCAA